CCUACGGGGUGCAGCAGUAGGGUAUCUUUCACAAUGGGCGAAAGCCUGAUGGAGCAACGCCGCGUGCAGGAUGCAGGCCUUCUGGUUGUAAACUGCUUUUAUAAGCGAGAAAUAUGAUGGUAACUUAUGAAUAAGGAUCUGCUAACUACGUGCCAGCAGCCGCGGUCAUACGUAGGAUCCGAGCAUUAUCCGGAGUGACUGGGUGUAAAGAGUUUCGUAGGUGGCAUAAUAAGUAGCUAGUGAAAUCUGGUGGCUCAACCAUUCAGACUAUUAGCUAAACUGUUAAGCUAGAGACCGUUAGGGGUAACUGGAAUGUCUAGUGUAGGAGGGAAAUCCGUAGAUAUUAGAAGGAACACCAAUAGCGGAGGAAGGUUACUGGGACGGUUCUGACACGAAGGCACGAAAGCGUAGGGAGCAAACGGGAUUAGAUACCCCAGUAGUC
RNAcentral lists this ribosomal RNA (442 nucleotides) under uncultured bacterium. RNAcentral's name for it is "partial 16S ribosomal RNA". It matches the Rfam family "Bacterial small subunit ribosomal RNA", at positions 338 to 795 of the family's 1533-position model. The record is from RNAcentral.